This 1349-nucleotide ribosomal RNA is filed under the name metagenome. Its description in RNAcentral is "bacterial LSU rRNA". It matches the Rfam family "Bacterial large subunit ribosomal RNA", at positions 1564 to 2925 of the family's 2925-position model. The record is from RNAcentral.
UGAGUACGAGCUGCUACGGCAGCGAAGUGGGUGAUGUCAAGCUUCCAAGAAAAGCCCUAUACCCGUUAAGGCAUGAUGGCCUGUACCCGAAACCGACACAGGUGGGGUGGUAGAGAAUACCGAGGGGCGCGAGAUAACUCUCUCUAAGGAACUCGGCAAAAUGGCCCCGUAACUUCGGGAGAAGGGGUGCCACCGCAAGGUGGUCGCAGUGAAGAGGCCCAGGCGACUGUUUACCAAAAACACAGGUCUCCGCUAAGUCGCAAGACGAUGUGUGGGGGCUGACGCCUGCCCAGUGCCGGAAGGUUAAGGAAGCUGGUCAGCGCAAGCGAAGCUAGCGACUGAAGCCCCGGUGAACGGCGGCCGUAACUAUAACGGUCCUAAGGUAGCGAAAUUCCUUGUCGGGUAAGUUCCGACCCGCACGAAAGGCGUAACGAUCUGGGCGCUGUCUCGGAGAGAGGCUCGGCGAAAUAGAAUUGUCUGUGAAGAUGCGGACUACGUGCACCCGGACAGAAAGACCCUAUGAAGCUUUACUGUAGCUUGGUAUUGUGCUCGGGCUCGGAAUGCGCAGGAUAGGUGGGAGGCUAUGAACCAUUGCUUGUGGGUGAUGGUGAGCCACUGGUGAGAUACCACUCUUUCCGAGCUAGAGUUCUAACAGCCACCCGUUAUCCGGGGGCUGGACAGUAUCAGGUGGGCAGUUUGACUGGGGCGGUCGCCUCCUAAAAGGUAACGGAGGCGCGCAAAGGUUUGCUCAGGCUGGUUGGAAAUCAGCCGACGAGUGUAAAAGCAGAAGCAAGCUUGACUGUGAGACCUACAAGUCGAACAGGGAGGAAACUCGGCUUUAGUGAUCCGACGGUUCUGCGUGGAAGGGCCGUCGCUCAACGGAUAAAAGUUACUCUAGGAUAACAGGCUGAUCUCCCCCAAGAGUUCACAUCGACGGGGAGGUUUGGCACCUCGAUGUCGGCUCAUCGCAACCUGGGGCUGAAGUCGGUCCCAAGGGUUGGGCUGUUCGCCCAUUAAAGCGGUACGCGAGCUGGGUUCAGAACGUCGUGAGACAGUUCGGUCCAUAUCCGGUGCAUGCGCAGGAAUAUUGAGAGGAUUUCUCCCUAGUACGAGAGGACCGGGAGGAACGCACCUCUGGUGUACCAGUUAUCGUGCCAACGGUAAACGCUGGGUAGCCAUGUGCGGAGAGGAUAACCGCUGAAAGCAUCUAAGUGGGAAGCCCACCUCAAGAUGAGUAUUCCCAUGGGGUAACCCAGUAAGGUCACGGGAAGAACACCCGUUGAUAGGCUCUACGUGGAAGCGCAGUAAUGUGUGAAGCGGAGGAGUACUAAUAGACCGAGGGCUUGACC